CUCUGGACAGUUUGUUCCGUCCAUAAUGUCCGACAAGCCUAGUGUCACAGACAGAAGUCUGUUUAGAGCCCUCGCUGCGGUUCUGCCAUUCGAGUCGAUUCGUUUUCUGAAGAGGAAGCGAAGUAGCCUGUUCAGUGAAGAGAGAAUCAAGGUCUUCACUCUGCCUCUUGAAAGAAAGGAGCUAACCUGUCGCCUAGCAACACCUCCCACUCCUGCCGAAGCCAGAGGAAUAGAAGAGAGGAAGAGGAAGGACUGAACCUGUCUAUGAAACUGAUAAGACAGACAGAGGUAAAGAGUAGGGUAUGAUGUUGCCUUUAAAGUCAAGAGACGCCAGCUCAUCAUGCCAAUGUGUGGGCAUAUCAGUGAUAUCCAUAGCCCACUGAGAGGCUGAUGAAGUUGCACCUGUCGUGGCAUUUUAAUCGUCUAGAUUUAAGUAUAAUAAAUUAUCGAAUGCAU
This is a long non-coding RNA of Carassius carassius (crucian carp), 456 nucleotides long. RefSeq lists it as uncharacterized. The record is from RefSeq and is a predicted model, not a curated record. The transcript has 2 exons. NCBI's taxonomy places the organism in Eukaryota, Metazoa, Chordata, Actinopteri, Cypriniformes, Cyprinidae.